CAGUAGCCACGGUAAUACGGAGGGUGCAAGCGUUAAUCGGAAUUACUGGGCGUAAAGCGCACGCAGGCGGUCUGUCAAGUCGGAUGUGAAAUCCCCGGGCUCAACCUGGGAACUGCAUUCGAAACUGGCAGGCUAGAGUCUUGUAGAGGGGGGUAGAAUUCCAGGUGUAGCGGUGAAAUGCGUAGAGAUCUGGAGGAAUACCGGUGGCGAAGGCGGCCCCCUGGACAAAGACUGACGCUCAGGUGCGAAAGCGUGGGGAGCAAACAGGAUUAGAUACCCGCGUAGUCCCUGUCUCUUAUAC
This 301-nucleotide ribosomal RNA is filed under the name uncultured bacterium. Its description in RNAcentral is "partial 16S ribosomal RNA". It matches the Rfam family "Bacterial small subunit ribosomal RNA", at positions 509 to 807 of the family's 1533-position model. The record is from RNAcentral.